This 253-nucleotide ribosomal RNA is filed under the name uncultured bacterium. RNAcentral describes it as "partial 16S ribosomal RNA". It matches the Rfam family "Bacterial small subunit ribosomal RNA", at positions 524 to 776 of the family's 1533-position model. The record is from RNAcentral.
UACGUAGGUGGCAAGCGUUGUCCGGAUUUAUUGGGCUUAAAGGGUGCGUAGGCGGCUUUGUAAGUCAGUGGUGAAAUCUGGCAGCUCAACUGUCAGGGUGCCAUUGAUACUGCGGAGCUUGAGUACAGAUGAGGUAGGCGGAAUUGACGGUGUAGCGGUGAAAUGCUUAGAUAUCGGCAAGAACACCGAUAGCGAAGGCAGCUGACUGGGCUGUAACUGACGCUGAGGCACGAAAGUGUGGGGAUCAAACAGG